GGAAUCUUGCGCAAUGCGCGAAAGCGUGACGCAGCAACGCCGCGUGGGGGAAGAAGGCCUUCGGGUUGUAAACACCUUUCAGUUGGGACGAAGCUUCGCCGGUGAAUAGCCGGCUGGAGUUACGGUACCUUCACAAGAAACCCCGGCUAACUACGUGCCAGCAGCCGCGGUAAUACGUAGGGGGCUAGCGUUGUCCGGAAUCAUUGGGCGUACAGCGCGUGUAGGCGGCCCGGUAAGUCCGCUGUGAAAGUCGGGGGCUCAACCCUCGAAAGCCGGUGGAUACUGUCGGGCUCGAGUACGGAAGAGGCGAGUGGAAUUCCUGGUGUAGCGGUGAAAUGCGCAGAUAUCAGGAGGAACACCGAUUGCGAAGGCAGCUCGCUGGGACGUAACUGACGCUGAGACGCGAAAGCGUGGGGAGCAAAC
Molecule: ribosomal RNA, 423 nt
Filed under: uncultured bacterium
Lineage: Bacteria
Description: bacterial SSU rRNA
Rfam family: Bacterial small subunit ribosomal RNA
Source: RNAcentral